UUGAGGCAAGUCUGGUGCCAGCAGCCGCGGUAAUUCCAGCUCCAAUAGCGUAUAUUAAAGUUGUUGCAGUUAAAAAGCUCGUAGUUGAAUUUCGGGAUUCACCCAUUGGUCGGGCUUCACGGUCCGUACUGGUGUGAUGGGUUCUUACCUUCUGAAUAACCGGCAUGCCAUUAAUUUGGUGCGCCGGGGAAGCAGAACUAUUACCUUGAAAAAAUUAGAGUGCUUAAAGCAGGCAAGUGCCUGAAUAGGUUAGCAUGGAAUAAUAAAAUAGGACGGCAUGGUUCUAUUUUGUUGGUUUCUAGGAUCACCGUAAUGAUUAAUAGGGAUAGUUGGGGGCAUUAGUAUUCAAUUGUCAGAGGUGAAAUUCUUGGAUUUAUUGAAGACUAACUUCUGCGAAAGCAUUUGCCAAGGAUGUUUUCAUUAAUCAAGAACGAAAGUUAGGGGAUCGAAGACGAUCAGAUACCGUCGUAGUCUUAACCAUAAACUAUGCCGACUAGGGAUCGGACGAUGUUAAUUUUUUAAUGACUCG
Molecule: ribosomal RNA, 529 nt
Filed under: uncultured Acaulosporaceae
Lineage: Eukaryota; Fungi; Glomeromycota; Glomeromycetes; Diversisporales; Acaulosporaceae
Description: SSU rRNA
Rfam family: Eukaryotic small subunit ribosomal RNA
Source: RNAcentral